This is a small nucleolar RNA of Impatiens glandulifera, 83 nucleotides long. RefSeq annotates it as small nucleolar RNA snoR128. The record is from RefSeq and is a predicted model, not a curated record. The transcript has a single exon. NCBI's taxonomy places the organism in Eukaryota, Viridiplantae, Streptophyta, Magnoliopsida, Ericales, Balsaminaceae.
UUGCUAUGAUGAUAACCUCAAUAAGUGAAAGUUUGAUGAACUGUUUGACAAAUUAUGUCGAACCUGAGCGGUUACCUGAGCAA